GUCAGGAUGGCCGAGCGGUCUAAGGCGCUGCGUUCAGGUCGCAGUCUCCUCUGGAGGCGUGAGUUCGAAUCCCACUUCUGACA
This is a non-coding RNA of Danio rerio (zebrafish), 83 nucleotides long. Lineage: Eukaryota; Metazoa; Chordata; Actinopteri; Cypriniformes; Danionidae. The record is from Rfam.